RNAcentral lists this ribosomal RNA (479 nucleotides) under uncultured bacterium. RNAcentral describes it as "partial 16S ribosomal RNA". It matches the Rfam family "Bacterial small subunit ribosomal RNA", at positions 28 to 507 of the family's 1533-position model. The record is from RNAcentral.
GAUGAACGCUAGCGGGAGGCCUAACACAUGCAAGCCGAGCGGUAUUGUUUCUUCGGAAAUGAGAGAGCGGCGUACGGGUGCGUAACACGUGUGCAACCUGCCUUUAUCUGGGGGAUAGCCUUUCGAAAGGAAGAUUAAUACUCCAUAAUAUAUUGAACGGCAUCGUUUAAUAUUGAAAGCUCCGGCGGAUAGAGAUGGGCACGCGCAAGAUUAGCUAGUUGGUGAGGUAACGGCUCACCAAGGCGAUGAUCUUUAGGGGGCCUGAAAGGGUGAUCCCCCACACUGGUACUGAGACACGGACCAGACUCCUACGGGAGGCAGCAGUGAGGAAUAUUGGUCAAUGGGUGCAAGCCUGAACCAGCCAUCCCGCGUGAAGGACGACUGCCCUAUGGGUUGUAAACUUCUUUUGUAUAGGGAUAAACCUACCCUCGUGAGGGUAGCUGAAGGUACUAUACGAAUAAGCACCGGCUAACUCCGUG